Cricetulus griseus (Chinese hamster) is the source of this 182-nucleotide non-coding RNA. Lineage: Eukaryota; Metazoa; Chordata; Mammalia; Rodentia; Cricetidae. The record is from RefSeq and is a predicted model, not a curated record.
CCCCCAGACCUGCUCACCUGUGCAGCAGAGCAGAGGGGCCUGGAAGGAGAGAGGAGACAGAAGCUAAAGAUGCAGGGUCUGGUGACAUUCAGUGAUGUGACUGUGACCUUCUCGAAAGAGGAGUGGGAAUGCAUGGACUCUGCUCAGUGGAAUUUGUACACUGAUGUGAUGUUAGAGAAUUA